Molecule: ribosomal RNA, 253 nt
Filed under: uncultured bacterium
Lineage: Bacteria
Description: partial 16S ribosomal RNA
Rfam family: Bacterial small subunit ribosomal RNA
Source: RNAcentral
GACGUAGGGCGCGAGCGUUGUCCGGAUUUCUUGGGCGUAAAGAGCUCGUAGGCGGCUUGUCGCGUCGACCGUGAAAACUUGGGGCUCAACCCCAAGCCUGCGGUCGAUACGGGCAGGCUCGAGUUCGGUAGGGGAGACUGGAAUUCCUGGUGUAGCGGUGAAAUGCGCAGAUAUCAGGAGGAACACCGAUGGCGAAGGCAGGUCUCUGGGCCGAUACUGACGCUGAGGAGCGAAAGCGUGGGGAGCGAACAGG